RNAcentral lists this long non-coding RNA (1508 nucleotides) under Homo sapiens (human). RNAcentral's name for it is "long non-coding RNA NONHSAT173691.1". Lineage: Eukaryota; Metazoa; Chordata; Mammalia; Primates; Hominidae. The record is from RNAcentral.
AGGAGACCCAGGAAGCUGCGCCCGGCUCCCGGGGGUGGAGGGCCUAGGCCUCGGCCCGCCCGAGGCGGAGCCCGGGAGGUCGGGGCGGGGUCCCGGGCCGGUCACCCACCUGGGUUGCCAGUCAUUCCAGCUCCGCGAAUAGUUGGUGCCGUUGGUGCCGCCGCCGCCGCUCAGCCGAGACCCCGGGGCUCUGCGGCUCAUUACCUUCCCCGACACGACAUGGCCAAGCGCCGCCGCCCAGAGAAGCGCGAGUCGCCGCCCGAACCGGCCGCCGCCAACACCCCGCUCCGGCCCGGGGCUGAGGAGGAAGCCGAGAAGGAGGAGAAGGAGGAGGCGGCGGCGGGCGGGGGAAGAGGACGACCGUUCCGGGUUCCGCCUGAGCCCGCAGCACAGGACGAGGAGGCGGGAGCGGCGCGGUGAGAGAGAGGUGGAUGAAGGGGAGGCGACGUCUCUUCCAGGGCCGUGCGCGGCCCACGUCGCCGGGGCCGCGGAGGACGAGGACGACGAGGAGCAGGCGGUGGCGGCAGCUCCUCACGCUCACAAGGCCACUGCUAACCCGCCUCCCGGCUCCGCUGGCCGCGCCGCCGCUAUCGCACGGGAUUCGCAGAGGCAUUUUUGGAACAUCUUUGGAAAAAAUUGCAGGAUCCAAGUAAUCCUGCCAUCAUCAGGCAGGCUGCUGGAAAUUAUAUUGGAAGCUUUUUGGCAAGAGCUAAAUUUAUUCCUCUUAUUACUGUAAAACCAUGCCUAGAUCUUUUGGUUAACUGGCUGCACAUAUACCUUAAUAACCAGGAUUCGGGAACAAAGGCAUUCUGCAAUGUUGCUCUCCAUGGACCAUUUUACUCAGCCUGCCAAGCUGUGUUCUACACCUUUGUUUUUAGACACAAGCAGCUUUUGAGCGGAAACCUGAAAGAAGGUUUGCAGUAUCUUCAGAGUCUGAAUUUUGAGCGGAUAGUGAUGAGCCAGCUAAAUCCCCUGAAGAUUUGCCUGCCCUCAGUGGUUAACUUUUUUGCUGCAAUCACAAAUAAGUACCAGCUCGUCUUCUGCUACACCAUCAUCGAGAGGAACAAUCGCCAGAUGCUGCCAGUCAUUAGGAGUACCACUGGAGGAGACUCAGUGCAGACCUGCACAAACCCACUGGACACCUUCGUCCCCUUUGAUCCCUGUGUGCUGAAGAGGUGAGGUCUGUGCAGACCCUGGGUGAGGGGCGAGUUGGCUAUGGCCUGUUUAACUCCACCUGUGCAGACUGCAGCUCAGCCUCGUCCAUGCUUCGUGACUCAGCCUUGUCCUCAGGGAAGCUGGGGCUGGUGCAACUUUCAGAAGUGGUCCCAGACCUGCCUUUCGCCUUCUGCCAUGAUUGGGAGGCCUCCCCAGCCACAUGGAACUGAUCUUGCUCUGUCGCCCAGGCUACAGUGCAGUGGUGCAAUCACAGCCCACUGCAGCCUCGACCUCCGGAGCUCAAUUGAUCCUCCCACCUCAGCCUCCUGAGUAGCUGCAUCUACAGAUGUGAG